GACUGCAGGCGGCCGCGAAUUCACUAGUGAUUAGAGUUUGAUCAUGGCUCAGGAUAAACGCUGGCGGCGUGCUUCAUGCAUGCAAGUCGCACGGUUUUUCUCGCAAGGGAGAGACAGUGGCAAACGGGUGAGUAACACGUAAGCAACCUGUCCUUAAGUGGGGGAUAACACUUCGAAAGAAGUGCUAAUACCGCGUGUGGCCCUUCUACAUAAGUGGAAGGUCUAAAGCCGUAAGGCGCUUGAGGAGGGGCUUGCGUCUGAUUAGCUAGUUGGUGGGGUAACGGCCUACCAAGGCGAUGAUCAGUAGCUGGUCUGAGAGGACGAACAGCCACACUGGGACUGAGACACGGCCCAGACUCCUACGGGAGGCAGCAGCAAGGAAUAUUGUGCAAUGGGCGAAAGCCUGACACAGCGACGCCGCGUGAGGGAUGAAGACUUUCGGGUUGUAAACCUCUUUUCUCAGGGAGGAAUAAUGACAGUACCUGAGGAA
This 490-nucleotide ribosomal RNA is filed under the name uncultured bacterium. Its description in RNAcentral is "bacterial SSU rRNA". It matches the Rfam family "Bacterial small subunit ribosomal RNA", at positions 1 to 486 of the family's 1533-position model. The record is from RNAcentral.